Molecule: ribosomal RNA, 331 nt
Filed under: uncultured bacterium
Lineage: Bacteria
Description: bacterial SSU rRNA
Rfam family: Bacterial small subunit ribosomal RNA
Source: RNAcentral
CGCGUAGGCGGACAGUUUAGUCAGAGGUGAAAGCCCAGGGCUCAACCUUGGAAUUGCCUUUGAUACUGGCUGUCUUGAGUACGGGAGAGGUGAGUGGAACUCCGAGUGUAGAGGUGAAAUUCGUAGAUAUUCGGAAGAACACCAGUGGCGAAGGCGACUCACUGGCCCGUUACUGACGCUGAGGCGCGAAAGCGUGGGGAGCAAACAGGAUUAGAUACCCUGGUAGUCCACGCUGUAAACGAUGAGUGCUAGUUGUCGGCAUGCAUGCAUGUCGGUGACGCAGCUAACGCAUUAAGCACUCCGCCUGGGGGAGUACGGUCGCAAGAUUAAA